GAUGAACGCUAGCGGCAGGCUUAAUACAUGCAAGUCGUGGGGCAGCAGGUUUGUAGCAAUACAGAUGCUGGCGACCGGCAAACGGGUGCGGAACACGUACAGAACCUUCCUUUGAGCGGGGAAUAGCCCAGAGAAAUUUGGAUUAAUACCCCAUAGUAUAAUGAAGUGGCAUCACUUUAUUAUUAAAGAUUUAUCACUCGAAGAUGGCUGUGCGGCUGAUUAGGUAGUUGGCGGGGUAAAGGCCCACCAAGCCUGCGAUCAGUAACUGGUGUGAGAGCACGACCAGUCACACGGGCACUGAGACACGGGCCCGACUCCUACGGGAGCAGCAGUAAGGAAUAUUGGCAAUGGAGGCAACUCUGAACCAGCCAUGCCGCGUGGAGGAUGAAGGUCCUCUGGAUUGUAAACUUCUUUUAUAUGGACGAAAGAAGGCUUUUCUAAGUCGUCUGACGGUACCAUAUGAAUAAGCACCGGCUAACUCCGUAGCCAGCAGCCG
RNAcentral lists this ribosomal RNA (496 nucleotides) under uncultured bacterium. RNAcentral's name for it is "bacterial SSU rRNA". It matches the Rfam family "Bacterial small subunit ribosomal RNA", at positions 28 to 517 of the family's 1533-position model. The record is from RNAcentral.